Molecule: ribosomal RNA, 383 nt
Filed under: Draconarius sp. ZZ707
Lineage: Eukaryota; Metazoa; Arthropoda; Arachnida; Araneae; Agelenidae
Description: partial 16S ribosomal RNA
Source: RNAcentral
CUCAAUGAACAUUAAAUAGCCGCAAGAUUCCUUGUGCUAAGGUAGCAUAAUCAUUUGUCUUAUAAUUAAAGGCUAGAACGAAAGAUUAAAUAUUUCCACUUUUUUCUUUAAUAUUUUAUAUUAAAUUUAUUUUAAAUAUAAAAAAAUAUUUAUCAAUACAAAAGACGACAAGACCCUAUCAAACUUAACUAAAGUUUAACUGGGGCAGUUAAUUAAACAUAAUUUUAAUUUAAAUUUAUAAAAUAACCUAAUACAAUUAAAUAUAAUCAAGUUACUAUAGGGAUAACAGCGUAAUAAUUUUCUUAAGCUCUUAUUUAAAAAAUUGUUUGCGACCUCGAUGUUGAAUUAAUAAUCUAUUAAAUGCAACCAUUAAUAAGAAAGUC